CUCGCCUGCAUGAAGCUGGAAUUGCUAGUAAUCGCGGAUCAGCAAGCCGCGGUGAAUACGUUCCCGGGCCUUGUACACACCGCCCGUCACACCAUGAGAGUUGGGAAUACCCGAAGCCUGUGAGCUAACUUUUAGAGGCAGCAGUCGAAGGUAGAAUCAAUGAUUGGGGUGAAGUCGUAACAAGGUACC
RNAcentral lists this ribosomal RNA (189 nucleotides) under uncultured bacterium. RNAcentral's name for it is "partial 16S ribosomal RNA". It matches the Rfam family "Bacterial small subunit ribosomal RNA", at positions 1311 to 1500 of the family's 1533-position model. The record is from RNAcentral.